RNAcentral lists this ribosomal RNA (534 nucleotides) under uncultured bacterium. RNAcentral's name for it is "bacterial SSU rRNA". It matches the Rfam family "Bacterial small subunit ribosomal RNA", at positions 977 to 1509 of the family's 1533-position model. The record is from RNAcentral.
GGCCUUGACAUACUAAGAACUUUCCAGAGAUGGAUUGGUGCCUUCGGGAACUUAGAUACAGGUGCUGCAUGGCUGUCGUCAGCUCGUGUCGUGAGAUUGUUGGGUUAAGUCCCGNAACGAGCGCAACCCUUUUCCUUAUUUGCCAGCGGGUCAUGCCGGGAACUUUAAGGAUACUGCCAGUGACAAACUGGAGGAAGGCGGGGACGACGUCAAGUCAUCAUGGCCCUUACGGCCAGGGCUACACACGUGCUACAAUGGUCGGUACAAAGGGUUGCUACCUCGCGAGAGGAUGCUAAUCUCAAAAAGCCGAUCGUAGUCCGGAUCGCAGUCUGCAACUCGACUGCGUGAAGUCGGAAUCGCUAGUAAUCGCGGAUCAGAAUGCCGCGGUGAAUACGUUCCCGGGCCUUGUACACACCGCCCGUCACACCAUGGGAGUUUGUUGCACCAGAAGUAGGUAGUCUAACCGCAAGGAGGACGCUUACCACGGUGUGGCCGAUGACUGGGGUGAAGUCGUAACAAGGUAAGCGUAGAUGA